AUCAUCGGUUCCUCUCUCAGCUACCACAAAUUUUUUUUUUCUAUUCCCUUCUCCAAUCCAGAUUUCUCUACAACCCAUAUGCACUUUCUUUUCCUUUCCAAUUUUUCACUCUUUGUUUUGAUCCAAAAUGCAUUCCUCCGUGCUUCUUUUUUUCGAUCCAACCUUCUCUGCAUCCCUUCCCCAAUGCUAAACCUUCUGCCCCCCAACCCUAACCCAAGCUCAAAUCCCAAUGCUAACCCUCAAUAAAACCCAAUCCCGACUGUAACCCUAAACUGGCCCUAACCCUCAACAAAAUCUUACACUAACUCUAAACCUGAAGAGAACCUAACCCUAACCCUAACCCCAACCCCAACCCUAAUCAUAAUCGUAACCAACCCCCAGACCCUAGCCUUAGCCAAAUAACUAACCCUAACC
This 414-nucleotide long non-coding RNA is filed under the name Elaeis guineensis (African oil palm). RNAcentral's name for it is "long non-coding RNA (EGUI_LNC006708)". Lineage: Eukaryota; Viridiplantae; Streptophyta; Magnoliopsida; Arecales; Arecaceae. The record is from RNAcentral.